UACGUAGGGGGCUAGCGUUGUUCGGAAUUACUGGGCGUAAAGCGUGUGUAGGCGGCUACGUAAGUCGGAUGUGAAAGCCCCCAGGCUCAACCUGGGAAGUGCACUCGAUACUGCGUAGCUUGAGUAUCGGAGAGGUUGGUGGAAUUCUCGGUGUAGAGGUGAAAUUCGUAGGUAUCGAGAGGAACACCGGUGGCGAAGGCGGCCAACUGGACGAAUACUGACGCUGAGACACGAAAGCGUGGGGAGCAAACAGG
This 254-nucleotide ribosomal RNA is filed under the name uncultured bacterium. Its description in RNAcentral is "partial 16S ribosomal RNA". It matches the Rfam family "Bacterial small subunit ribosomal RNA", at positions 524 to 776 of the family's 1533-position model. The record is from RNAcentral.